RNAcentral lists this ribosomal RNA (395 nucleotides) under uncultured bacterium. RNAcentral describes it as "bacterial SSU rRNA". It matches the Rfam family "Bacterial small subunit ribosomal RNA", at positions 30 to 427 of the family's 1533-position model. The record is from RNAcentral.
AUUGAACGCUGGCGGCAUGCUUUACACAUGCAAGUCGAACGGUAACAGGCCGCAAGGUGCUGACGAGUGGCGAACGGGUGAGUAAUAUAUCGGAACGUACCUUUCAGUGGGGGAGUAACGUAGCGAAAGUUACGCUAAUACCGCAUAUUCUGUGAGCAGGAAAGCAGGGGAGUCGCAAGACCUUGCGCUGAUUGAGCGACCGAUAUCAGAUUAGCUAGUUGGUGAGGUAAAGGCUCACCAAGGCGACGAUCUGUAGCGGGUCUGAGAGGAUGAUCCGCCACACUGGAACUGAGACACGGUCCAGACUCCUACGGGAGGCAGCAGUGGGGAAUUUUGGACAAUGGGCGCAAGCCUGAUCCAGCCAUGCCGCGUGAGUGAAGAAGGCCUCGGUUGGU